GGUGUGGCUCAGUUGGUAGAGCGCUUGGUUUGGGACCAAGAUGCCGCAGGUUCGACUCCUGUCAC
Molecule: transfer RNA, 65 nt
Filed under: bovine gut metagenome
Rfam family: tRNA
About the family: Transfer RNA (tRNA) molecules are approximately 80 nucleotides in length. Their secondary structure includes four short double-helical elements and three loops (D, anti-codon, and T loops).
Source: RNAcentral